This 1189-nucleotide long non-coding RNA is filed under the name Salmo salar (Atlantic salmon). RNAcentral's name for it is "lncRNA (ENSSSAG00000110869.1)". The record is from RNAcentral. Lineage: Eukaryota; Metazoa; Chordata; Actinopteri; Salmoniformes; Salmonidae.
AUAACACAUAGAGUUAGGAGGGGCUAGUCCUCUGUGUGUUCAACCUCUUUGGAAGGUCAGGUUUUCUUUGCGUUUGUGUGUGCUCUUGUCACACAUAAAUCAUUGCUGUGAAUUAACAAUGGGAGUCUCUGUGUGAUCUUUGAUUUAGAAAGACCUGGUAUAUCAACAGUAAUUCCUGCUGGUAAUUUACUGUGCGUUGUGCUAAUGAGAGGCGUGUGUGGGGGCGGGGGGAGUUAUCUCUCUCUCAGUAAUAAGUGUGUUCAAUAAGAGGGGGAGGUGAAGGGGUGAGUUAGCUAAUGGAUUUUAGAGAGGCAGAGAUGGAGGGAUGGAUUUCACCUGCUGUGAACGGAGAGAUGGAGAGGUGGAGGAGGUCUGUGAACUGAGAGAUGAAGAGGGGGAGGAGGUCUGUGAACUGAGAGAUGAAGAGGGGGAGAAGGUCUGUGAACGGAGAGAUGAAGAGGACAUGUAGAACACCUACCUUUAUUGUUUAGCUGGAAUGAAAAACACCAGAUAGAUAGCCUGUUCUCUCUCUCUCUUUAUCUCUCUCUCUCUCCCGCUCUCUCUUUCCCAUCUGACAAUGAAAGUGACUAGAGAACUUUUACUAAUGAUAAAAACGAAACAAUUAACGGUAAUAUGUUUAUUUAUUUAUCAAAAGGUAGAAAGCAUACUGUAUAUUUGAACGAUAAGUUAUAAAAAUGUAGGUACUGUAAUGAUAAAAGAAUUGUAUGGUAAACAAUCAAAACCGUUAACCUUUUUUCACACUGUGUUAAGAACUUAAUAGGAUAGAUGUAGAAAGAUAGAACUCUAUAGGGAUAGAUGUAGAAAGAUAGAACUCAAUAGGGAUAGAUGUAGAAAGAUAGAACUCUAUAGGAGAUAUGUAGAAAGAUAGAACUCUAUAGGGAUAGAUGUAGAAAGAUAGAACUCAAUAGGGAUAGAUGUAGAAAGAUAGAACUCCAUAGGGAUAGACGUAGAAAGAUAUAACUCUAUAGGGAUAGAUGUAGAAAGAUAGAACUCAAUAGGGAUAGAUAUAGAAAGAUAGAACUCUACAGGGAUAGAUGUAGAAAGAUAGAACUCAAUAGGGAUAGAUAUAGAAAGAUAGAACUCAAUAGGGAUAGAUGUAGAAAGAUAGAACUCAAUAGGGAUAGAUGUAGAAAGAUAGAACUCUAUAGGGAUAGAUGUAGAAAGAUAG